UACGUAGGUGGCAAGCGUUGUCCGGAUUUACUGGGCGUAAAGCGCACGCAGGCGGUCUGCUAAGUUUGGAGUGACAGUUGGUGGCUUAACUGCCAAAGUGCUUCGAAAACUGACAGACUUGAGGGCUUCAGAGGGACACGGAAUUCCGGGUGGAGUGGUGAAAUGCGUAGAGAUCCGGAGGAACACCAAAGGCGAAGGCAGUGUCCUGGGGAGUACCUGACGCUCAGGUGCGAAAGCCAGGGGAGCGAACGGG
This 253-nucleotide ribosomal RNA is filed under the name uncultured bacterium. Its description in RNAcentral is "partial 16S ribosomal RNA". It matches the Rfam family "Bacterial small subunit ribosomal RNA", at positions 524 to 776 of the family's 1533-position model. The record is from RNAcentral.